AUAGGAUGACUGGCUCUCUAACUAACCUAUAUACAGUUCACCUCACACAAGCACACACACCUGCAAACAAGUAAAACAUACUCCAAUAAGGUUUCCUUUAUUUACAACUUUUACAAAAAUUAUUAUUUAAUGUAUAUGUAUUUUGGUUCAUGCAAUAAUCAAUAGCAUGGAUGCACUGAGAUCUAUAAUGUGUUUUAUUUCUACAUAAAAUACAUAAAUGAUGAACUAAUGAACUUUCAAAUUUUUAAUGGGAAAAAAAAUGUGUCUAUUAAAACUGUACUUCCGUUCACACAGACUCAGUAAGCCAUUUUGAUUAGUAUUGUUGUGACAUGCCAUCAUAUGAUAACAAGGAGGGUAAAUUCUCACUAAAGAUCUGAAUGUUUGUUACCUCAUCAGUCCCAAAGCUGACAUCAAACUGAGGAUCAAGUCCAAAAGUAUCAAGGUUACACACUGUUACACUCCCUGAGAACCACCACCAGAGCCCUGGGACAUGGAAAACAACACAUCUAUUUACUGUAUGUUGUUUGUUUACUCGUUAAUCUGUUUGUUAUUUUCAGACUCUUUUCCUCACCCCUGCCAGGCAGUGGGAUAUUUGGUGAUGCUAUCUGUGUGUGUGUCUGUUUGUUUGUUUACUUGUUUGUGUUUGCAUAAUGACCUUAGGGACCAACAUCACUGGGAAAAACCUUCAUGGUCUAUGAGGGCAUUGCUGGACAAAAGCAAGGACACUGCAAGUGAACAAGAGCCAUGCAGCCCUUCAGACAUAUUACAGUCAAAGACAAAGGAGAGAAGCUGAAGUUAAUUUUUGUGGUAUCAACAUCAACAGUCUUCAGUGUCAGCUGUUACAGUAUAUUAAAAAUAAUCAAUUCAGAGGAUAAAAUAACAGCUAGAAGUAAAUUGAAGUAAAAAGAAUGUUUGGGAUUAUUUAUGUAGGUUUUGUGUCACAAUCUUCACUAGUGAGACUAAGCUAAACUUUAAGGUCACUUAUGACGUGUCAUUGGCCUAAAUUGCAUUUCAACAGGCAGUGGAACAACAGAAACUACACACACACACACACACACAGGCCAACUCAGUUACAGACCACGCAGGCCUUUUCCUGAGGAUGUAGAGCAGCAAGUUUAGUGUGAGUGUGUCUGCAUUUAUUUGAAACUGUAUUUGUGUGGUACUAAACUUAAAAAUCAUUUAACUGCCACGUGGGAGUAAUAUAGUAAAAAAAAAUAUAUAAAAUAAAAAUGAUUACUGUUUACAAACAUACCCCAAGGUCCUAAAUGGCAAAAUAAAUUGAAACAGAACCAACUGCCCUUGAGAUUUCAUGGAGAAAUGGGAGGAAAAAGUCAAAAGAGCUGUUUAGCAGUAUUAAAACUGUACCUCCGAAUAAGACACUAUGGGGACAGCUGCAAGCCACUGUUUAUGCCACAAGACAGUGGCAGUGUAUGCGAUACAAAUUACACCGUUUGAUUGGUGAGGAAGAUCAUUGACACACCAGCAUGUUUUCAUUAAAUCACCAUAAACGAGUUUACAGGCCCAGCUGGCUUUGGUUAGAGGGUGUUAAAUAAAGCAGCGCGGUAUUGUUUACUCCUCUGCUGCCGUGUCUCUCUUUCCUAAGUCUUUCUCCUUACACUCUCUUUUUGUCAACACUGUAUCCAUCCCAUAGACUGCAUAAAAACGAUCCAUCCUCACAUAAAGCACACGGUCGAGCUGUCUUCGGGGAGCGGUAACUGAUCCUAACGGUCCGUGUCAUGUGAGGAACUUCAUCUUGAAUAAAGUUGUCAAAAAAAAAAAAAAAAACGGAUCAGUCGGGAAGGAAAAAAGGAACCGGGAUGAGGCCGCCGUUUAACGAGCUGUUUUAAGGUGCCGCGUUUUUCAAACAGAAAAAAAGGGUUCAAAUCUAGCCUGAGGCCACUAAGGAGCUGACCGACUCGGCCCGGCUCGACGCAGCUGUAGCCCAGCCACAGUGGCUCUGCGAGAGGGCUGAAGUGUCACCUGGCUCCCCUGAGAAUAGCGAGGGGGGUGAUGGGAGAAGCAGAGGGCUGCGGGAUUGUGGGAGGGGGAGAGGAGUUUGCUAAGUUUUCAUUCACUGGAGGUGGGGCCAGCGGCUGUACAUAUGAGGAGAGCUGCCGAUCGUACAAAAGGAGGCGGCGUGUCUGUACAAACACACACACACGCACGCACGCACACAAGUCCUCUGCUCUUUUCCUCGGGUGCGAUCUUGUAUCAAAGCAAACAAAUGAAAUGCUGUCUCCCUCCCGCCUUUUUUUUUUUAUUAUUUUGAUCCGGUAUUCACUAAAAUGACACUUAAUAUCUCAACCGACUGACAUUAUCAAUCUGCAGUAUGCUCAAAUCUUCCGGCCAAACUUGCAGUUCCCAGAGGAAAUCCAGCGGCAUUGUCCUUUGUUUGCGAAGAGAUCCCACAGGAAUCAGCCCUGACUCUUUCACUGCGUGAGGAGAGCUGUCACGCGGGCGGCCUGGCACGCAGGAUGCUGGGUUAGACUAGGUACUGUCAGCCCACUCAGACUCGCGCCUCUUUCAGGAGCUGUUAGACGGCGCAGGCCGUGGCAUUUCCACUCUCAAUGCUGGAUUUGGUUUCAAUAUAAAAUACAUUAGAGUUCUGUCUCCCUGCGCCGGUGUCAAAGAGACAUCUGGAUCUGAUAUGAGGGACCACAACGGGAGCAUUUAUUGUUGGGUUUUACCUAUAGAUAGUGUUGACAUAUUCUUUAUGUUAUACUUUAUCACAGGAGGGCAGAAAAGAAUCUUUUCCAAAUCUGUGACUGUAUCCACAGCAUUGAAUAAAUUAAAGAUUGGAUUAAAAUCGAUACAUUAUUAAUAAGCCCAAACUAACAAGAAAAAUCUGCGUCAUCUUCAUCAUCAACAAUAAUAAUAAUUAUCAUUAUAAUAAUUUGUUUAAUCAUGUUUUUUUUUUUCAACUUACAAUCUAAUAAACACAAUUUCAAACAAAUAAAUGUUUGAAUCUAUAAAUAUUAUGAAAAAACAUAUACAUGCAAUACAGAGUUAUAUAUAAAAUAUAUUUCUAUAAUAAAACAUAUAUUUUAAUAUUUUUUUUCCAUUAUUACAAGGCCAAAUUCAUACAAACAAACCAUAAACAAAUAAAUAUAUAAAAUUGCAUACAUAAAAUUAAAUAAUUAAAUACUUAAUUUUAGAUAAAUAUAAUUAUUUGAUAAAAUAUAGAUUUUCACAUUUCACUCCAUUACUACUAGGCAAGGUCUAGUAAUCCAAAAUUCCAAACAAGCAAACAAAAAAUAAAUAUGAUAUAAUAAUAUACAAUUAUAUAUUAAAUAUAAUUAUAUGAUGAAACAUAUAUUUUGAACCUUCUAGGCCAAAUGUAAUAAUCCAAAAUUACAAACAAAUAAAAUAUUAUAUAACUGUAAAUAUUAUAUAACAUCACCUGAAUACAAUAAAUAAUAGAAUACAUUAUUAUAUCUAAAUUAUAUUUUCAACUUCC
Cyprinus carpio carpio is the source of this 3457-nucleotide long non-coding RNA. The record is from Ensembl. Lineage: Eukaryota; Metazoa; Chordata; Actinopteri; Cypriniformes; Cyprinidae.